RNAcentral lists this long non-coding RNA (1141 nucleotides) under Cricetulus griseus (Chinese hamster). RNAcentral's name for it is "lncRNA (ENSCGRG00015035416.1)". Lineage: Eukaryota; Metazoa; Chordata; Mammalia; Rodentia; Cricetidae. The record is from RNAcentral.
GGUCUUUAAAUAUGUAUUUAUUAACAUACAAAUAUAUGUAGUAACUAGUAUAUAUUCCCAGGUCAUAGAGCACAAUUAACUGAUUGGGAAAAUAGAAAUGAUACAGAGUUUUCUAGCAUAUGUCAAUGAAGUUAAAAGUAGAAAUCAAUACACGGAAAAUAGCUGGAAAGUCCUUAAGUUUUGGUAUCGUCAAUAUCAUACUGCUAUAUAACAUAUAAGAUGAAGAUCAAAUUUCAUAAUUAAAAUAUUUGAGAUAUUGAAAUAUUGAAAAUAAAAAUAAGCACCAAAUUUGUAAUACAGCAAAAGCAGUCUUGAAAGGAGAGGUGAGUGUUUAAUUUAUAUGUAAUAAAAGAAGAAAAUGAGAAAGGGGCUCUUGUACACUGCUAGAAGAAACAUGAACUACUACAGCCACCAUGGAUUUCACCACAGUGGGAUUUCACAACACUGAAAACUACCACGUGAUCAAGCAGUUGCAAUGCUGGCAAAGGAAAUGAAUAUCAAAGUAACAUUCUCCUCCCUUGCUCAUUACAUUAGUCUGAUCCAACAAGAAGUCUACUAUCAGGUUGCACCCUUCAGAUGAAGGUGAAGGGGCACGGGCAUCUGUGAACAUCAGCAAGAAAGUGCCGACUACCCUUGCAGGUGUCCAUCGCAAUGCCUGCCCUGCCCGAGAUGGGUGUUGAUGAGAAACGCCGAGGACAAAGCUUCUCCAAGAUCUUCCCCACCUGCCCUCCCAUCUGGAUCGACACCCUUUCUGUCUCCAUUAGAAAACACAUAGGCAGCAGGUGAUGAUGGCGCACACCUUUAAUCCCAGCACUCAGGAGGCAGAGCCAGGCGGAUCUCUGUGAGUAGUAGCCCAGCCUGGUCUACUGAGCAAGUUCCAGAAAAGGUUCCAAAGCAUCACAGAGAAACCCUGUCUUGAAAACCAACCAACCAAACAACAACACAAAAGGAAAGAAAAGAAAAAAGAAAACAAAUAGCCACCGAAAGAACAACAAUAAAAUAUAAAAUAAGAAAAGAGUUAUAAUUUCAGAUAGUUAUUUUGAGGGAAAAUAUUUGCUGUGGAGUGUGAAAUUUUAAAAAUAAAAUUACAUACGAUCUGUUAAUCAAUUUAAAUGCAUUCCCUGUGAACUUUGUCUUUCAC